CGCCCGCGGUUAACUUGAAUGUAGGUCAUGCGGGAAUACCCUUUCUGGUUGCUGCGCGCUCGGCGCGGAUUUGCUGGUGGAUGGCAGCCCAUCCGUGAUUUUCGGCUUUCACCGGCGCGGGUUUGUGGGAGGACAUCGGCCGACCGUUGGCGGCAGCGUGGGCACGCUCCCAACUUGCGGCGAUUUCAGCUUGGCGCUGCGCUUUCGCAUCAGCGGCGACCGCGGCUAGAACUUCAACGGUAAUCCGUUU
RNAcentral lists this ribosomal RNA (250 nucleotides) under uncultured archaeon. RNAcentral describes it as "partial 16S ribosomal RNA". The record is from RNAcentral.